AUCGACAGCAACAUCCUUGCGGUUUCCUGAUUCUUGGUUCACCGAAGCAGCACCAUCUUGAGUUGAAAGACAAUUUCCAAAUGUGCUAGGAGAAAAGGUUGCCUCAGGAGCAAGCACAAGCUCAAGUUCAUCCACCUCUAUCCGAAAGCCAUCCCCUUGCCAAGGCAUUUUCAUAAGCAGAGAGCCGAUUGAUCCUUCUUGAACAUAUACGGCUGCUGCGGAACCAAACUUUUGAUUGAGAUAAUCAACAUUGAGGGCAAGAUCAGAGAGCUGAAUGAUACCGGCCCUGGCUUGCACAUCGAGUUGAUCGAGAUCAAUAUCACCAAGUAUAAAUUUCCCCAAUUUCUUCUUCAACCAGAACUUGCAAAACCUCUUGAUUGCCCAGCGCGAGAACAACUUCUCCGCAGACCUCGCGAAGUUCCACAUUCUACCAAAUUUUGCACUUCAAUUCAAUUAACAAAACCAGAAAACUAGGGUUUAGAGUUUCCAAUUAACAGAAUCUUCUUGCGAUGGAG
Molecule: unclassified non-coding RNA, 515 nt
Filed under: Hevea brasiliensis (rubber tree)
Lineage: Eukaryota; Viridiplantae; Streptophyta; Magnoliopsida; Malpighiales; Euphorbiaceae
Source: RNAcentral